AAAGAGCAAAAAUAUAUUGAUCUCAUAAAUAAAUUAAUCGAAAACUAUAAAAAAACAAAUACUCACCAAAAAAUUUGAAAACACUUUGGGAUAUGUUUAAAUCAGAGGUAAGAACCGCAACUCUUACUUACUGCAAACAAAGAUCAUCUGAAAAUAAAAAUGAUAUAAAAAAUUUAGAAACAAAAUUAAGAAAAUUAAAUGAAAAAAACAAAUGUAAGCCCAACUAUGGAAAAAGAAAUUAAAACCAUGGAAGAAAAACUUGAAAACCUCUACUUAAAUAAAGUUAAAGGUGCACAAAUAAGAUCCCGAGUACAAUGGUUAGAAGAAGGAGAGAAAAACACUAAAUUCUUCCUGGGCCUUGAAAAA
Molecule: long non-coding RNA, 366 nt
Filed under: Mytilus galloprovincialis (Mediterranean mussel)
Lineage: Eukaryota; Metazoa; Mollusca; Bivalvia; Mytilida; Mytilidae
Source: RNAcentral